Molecule: ribosomal RNA, 233 nt
Filed under: uncultured bacterium
Lineage: Bacteria
Description: partial 16S ribosomal RNA
Rfam family: Bacterial small subunit ribosomal RNA
Source: RNAcentral
CGACAGGAUGCUAAUCCCAAAAACCUCUCUCAGUUCGGAUCGAAGUCUGCAACCCGACUUCGUGAAGCUGGAUUCGCUAGUAAUCGCGCAUCAGCCAUGGCGCGGUGAAUACGUUCCCGGGCUUGUACACACCGCCCGUCAAGCCAUGAAAGCCGGGGGUACCUGAAGUACGUAACCGCAAGGAGCGUCCUAGGGUAAAACUGGUAAUUGGGGCUAAGUCGUAACAAGGUAAC